Molecule: ribosomal RNA, 483 nt
Filed under: uncultured bacterium
Lineage: Bacteria
Description: SSU rRNA
Rfam family: Bacterial small subunit ribosomal RNA
Source: RNAcentral
AGGAUAAACGCUGGCGGCGUGCCUAACACAUGCAAGUCGAACGCCCUUUUCCUUCGCAAGAGGGGGGAGGGAGUGGCGGACGGGUGAGGAACACAUGGGUGACCUACCUUUCAGUGAGGAAUACCGGCGAGAAAUCGCCGACAAGACCGCAUAGCCUCGGUGCAAGUCGAGGAAAGCUCUCUCGAGAGAGGGAGCGCCACACGAGGAGCCUGCGCCCGAUUAGCUAGCUGGUGGAGUAAUGGUUCACCAGGGCGACGAUCGGUAGCUGGUCUGAGAGGACGAUCAGCCACACUGGGAUUGAGAACGGCCCAGACUCCUACGGGGGGCAGCAGUGAGGAAUUUUCGUCAAUGGGGGCAACCCUGAACGAGCAACGCCGCGUGCAGGAAGAAGGUUUCGGAUCGUAAACUGCUUUUCUCGGGGAAGAGAACGGACGGUACCCGAGGAAUCAGCCCCGGCUAACUACGCGCCAGCAGCCGCGGUAA